GACGAACGCUGGCGGCGUGCUUAACACAUGCAAGUCGAACGGUAAGGCCCUUCGGGGUACACGAGUGGCGAACGGGUGAGUAACACGUGGGUGAUCUGCCCUGCACUUCGGGAUAAGCCUGGGAAACUGGGUCUAAUACCGGAUAGGACUCCUGGCUUCAUGGUUGGGGGUGGAAAGCUUUUGCGGUGUGGGAUGGGCCCGCGGCCUAUCAGCUUGUUGGUGGGGUAAUGGCCUACCAAGGCGACGACGGGUAGCCGGCCUGAGAGGGUGACCGGUGACACUGGGACUGAGAGACGGCCCAGACUCCUACGGGAGGCAGCAGUGGGGAAUAUUGCACAAUGGGCGCAAGCCUGAUGCAGCGACGCCGCGUGAGGGAUGACGGCCUUCGGGUUGUAAACCUCUUUCAGCUAUGACGAAGCGCAAGUGACGGUAGUAGCAGAAGAAGGACCGGCCAACUACGUGCCAGCCGCCGCAGUAA
RNAcentral lists this ribosomal RNA (478 nucleotides) under uncultured bacterium. RNAcentral's name for it is "partial 16S ribosomal RNA". It matches the Rfam family "Bacterial small subunit ribosomal RNA", at positions 28 to 523 of the family's 1533-position model. The record is from RNAcentral.